RNAcentral lists this long non-coding RNA (4889 nucleotides) under Taeniopygia guttata (zebra finch). RNAcentral describes it as "lncRNA (ENSTGUG00000026579.1)". The record is from RNAcentral. Lineage: Eukaryota; Metazoa; Chordata; Aves; Passeriformes; Estrildidae.
GGCCUCAUCACUGAUAAAAGCUCUGAGGGAAUGAGGCUUGCUCAAAUUGGUAAGACUUUGCAGUUCUGAGUCUCAUAAAAACCUAGUAUAGAAGAAAUCAGGGGACAUUUUAGCUGCUCAAAAGAAACAAUAUUCCUACUGCCUGUUUUUUUGCAAAUAUUUAUAAACUGGUGCAAAAACUAAGGGGAACAGUGAAAAAUAUGUUAGUGCAGAAGCCAUGCCUUUUCCUCCUGUUUUUUCCCACCUCUAUUUUAAGUCCUUAUCCAAAAUAUGAAGGCAAGAAGGCAUUUCAGCAGAAGGGUUUCCAGUUCUGGAAUAAGGACAAAACAAAGUGUUUUCUCCUACCCAGUCUUAGGAACUAAAGAUCAGAUAUUUUUUCUGAAGGUUUUGAUGCAACACAAACAUAAAUCAGCCUGGCAGCAAAAAAAUUGAUGGGGAAACAAGAGCAAAAGUUUCAUAGCAGCAAAGGAAAGAGGAAAGUGGUGUAUAGUAGGAAGUGCAGGCCAGCUUUAGCAUUAGGAAGUACUGUUAACCCCUUCUACAUUUGUAGUACAUAGAUCAAAUGUGACAUUAGCAUGGAUGACACACAAAGGUUCAUCUACUUAACUCAUUGCUUUGGGAAUUGAAUUUAAAUCUUGGCUCUUCAAAGUUUUGGAUAAACCUUGACUCCUGCACAGAACUCUGGCUCAAUGAGGCUGUGGAGACCUGCCUGCCCAAACCACCUACAGGAUGAAAACCUCAUCAAAGGCAGCAUGUUCCAGGUGGAGGGAGGAAAUUUCAGACUGCACUUCUAUUGUUGAGCAAAUCUAUCCCUCAAAAGGAACCUUGAAAAGUCAAGGGUCAAGAGGGAACUCUCUAUUGCAUGUCAUAACUCACACUCUAGAAAACUAAAACCUGGGCCAAGGUACAUGAACAGAGGGAAAAGAUCUAUGACUGACUGACAGAAAACACCCAAAAAGCUAGCUCAGAGGGGCCCAGGAUUUUGUCACAGUGACUGACAUUCUGCCUACUUGGAAGGAAAUUAAUUAGAGGGGAAUGAAGAGCAUAUGUUGUCAAGUGGGUGUAAAUCAAACUAAGCAAACAAAGGAGUACAGGGAGAACUCAGGCUGACAUCAAGGCUGAGAGAGAAGAAAAGGCUGGAAGCAGAAACAGCCACAGAGACUUUUAGACAUAUUUUCUUCAAAUCUGCUUAUAUUUCCACACACUGAUGAAAAGUUGGGAGAAGGUAGCAGCAACCAAUGCACCCAAGAAGGGAAAUUUCUCGCACAAUACUCACAAAUUGGUUCCAGUGUUCAGGAUUAUUUAUCUGGUCCUGACUGGCGCUGCUUCUGCAAACAUGUACCACCUCACAGGAAUGGAACAGUGCAUUGUACAUUCUAAGUCCUGUGAGUACCUGUGCCUACAAAAGCAGCCUUGCUUUUGUACCAAGGAAAAGCAUACAAGGCUUUUCAAUUUUCAAUUUAGCUUAUUCUUUAGUUACUCCAUAAAGCCCAAAGUGGUUUUUCUCAUUGUUGUUUAUAGCCUUCCCAGAUCUUCUAGCCACAAACACAUAAUUUAUCUAAGCCACACAUAAACAACUGUGAUUUACGUCAACUUUUCAUUCAAUGGAAAGCACAUGAAAGAACUACUUUCCUUCUGUGUGUUACUUGCCUGCAAGGACUGGAGCAUGUCUUUCCAAAUUCCUGGCGGUAAACCCAAGCAGUUGUCAAAGCUUGGUCCAUAUUUGGCAUUUUAAGAACUUCCUAUUAGUUUUUUUCCAUUACAGAAUCAUUCAGUCACUGUAUGGCACAUCUCUGUACCAGACAAGCGAAAGAACUUUAUGACCCCUGAAAAAGGCAGACCCUAACUGGCCUUGAUGUCAACCUCUUGUCAGAGUGCAAGACAUUUCUAUGGCAGUUGCCAUACAAACUUGUAUGACACCAAAGUGAAUGGAGUUACAAUUCAGCUUGUUAUUCUUUAAGUGAAUAAUGAUUAAGGGUCACCAUCUCAGUGACAAGAAAACUCAUGCCAAGAUGGUUAAAAGCUGAAUCAACAAAAACAGUCACAUGAAACCCAUUAAAUAAACUUUGCUGCAGUAUACAGAAAUAAAUAAAACACCACUCCUUCUGCUUUUUAAAAUCAGGGUUGGUCUCAGGCAAGAACACACAGUACACUUGUAUCUCUGGCAGCAUGCCCUGUACCAGAAGUAAUUGAAAUUCUCCAAAAUCCCCUCCUCCCAUCUAAGACCUGGCAAGGAACAAACACAGUAUUGAUUGCCCUAUCUGAGGACUGGCUGACAGGCCUCCCUGCCCAGUGUGAUUCAGAGAUCUGCAGCAGCUAUUUUAAGAUUAGCAGACCAUUCUCUAAGGAGUGUGUCUUCCUGAUCUCUCUUCUGACAGGGUGAGCACUCCUCACUGGGCUACUGGUGAAAAACAGCUCAAAUCAGUGUUAUUCCAGAGAGUGCCCUAAAACAGCCUCAGCUCAGAUGGAGCACACCCUGACCUGAUAACCCUCAACAUCUCACAUCCAUAAAGGCACUAGGAUGUUUAGCUGGCACUGCCCUCACCACCUGCUGCCCCAGACAUACCUCUGUACUGACCCCAUAGCACUAAUAAAUGUCAAAUAUUGGCAAUCUUUGCUCAGCAGUUGUUGAAAGAAUAUGCUGCAUGCCACUGUGCUUACACCUGUAUCUGCUGCUCUUUAUGCUGCAAUGAAGAGGCAGCAUUUCAGACCUGUUGUUAGGCAGAUUUGCCUUGCUCCUUGGCAUAUGUCCAUAAGAACUACCAUUUCGUGGAUAAAUGCAUGAUUCCUUCAAAAACUGGAAAAGGCAACCAAGUACAUUAACACCUGGUAUUUCAAGCAGAGCAAGUCUGUGAUCUAAGACACUAAGACUGAUUUUGAGACCAUGCAACAUAAAUUACAUAGGGCUCUAGAGCUGGCAUCACUGGCAAGAAACCCAGAAGCUGCAUCUGAGACCAUUUGCUAGACCAAGUAUCAGAUCCUCCUGAUAUUUGUCUUUCAGCACCAGCCACCUUCCCCAUUCUCUAGGGUUUCACUCUUGUUAAGAGAAGAGCAAUGUGGCACAGCUGGAGACUUGAAAUCCCCAAUAUACCUUACCAGUCAACAGUUAGAUUAGGGUAAAUUCACCACAGGGACUUUUCCUAGGAGGCAUUUCUCUUCUAAGGAUGAAGGAAUUCACAUGUCCAAUUGCUGCAGUCUGUAUGGAAGCGCUGAUUAUUAUACUAUGAUAAAACAUGAGCAGGAUGGGCUGGUCUCCCUGUGAAGGCUGUUGCAGACUACUGUGAGAGAAUCACAGAUGGUGCAGUAAAUUAGAGUCUGUAUUCAUGCUUCCUAUAUUUUCCACAAUGUAUUCUUCCAGCGAGAAACAUAAUUUUUCAGGAUAAAUAAAAUUUCUGAAUCAGAUUUUUAAUCUGCAUCACGUGUAAUGCCAUGUGCAGCCUGUUACUUGGACAGUAUUAUCUUACCCACACCACCAAGAAGCACAUGCAUGCUUCCAUCAUGCCCUGAAGUUGUGAGAGGUGAAGGGGGAGACACUUGGCUGCCAGGGUGGAUGCGGAGAAGCUGUCCCCUGAGCAUCACCUUGCAGCUGCCACUGAAACGUAAACUUUAAGGAAUUUAGAGAUUUUAGAGGAGCUAAGAUUUUAGUUAGAAAUAAGCCUUACUAGAGUUAAUUAAAAUAAUAAUAAUAAUAAAUGAGUAGGCCUUGAUGAAGUUAGGUGUCGCUAUAGGACACGAGAAAGCACAACGCGAGCCACCUGCCACCUUGCAAGGCAAAAGAGAAAGUUUAUUUUCUGACUCCAACUUUUAUACUUCUCCAAAGGUGACAGUGGAUUGGAGAGUGAAUGGGCCACCUCUCCAAAGACAUUGGACAAAGCACUAGUACAUCAAGUCUCUCCACCCCCAUGGAGGAAUGCAAAACAACACGUUAUUUACAGAAACUGUGUGGGAAAGUUUCCCAAUAGAAUGUAAACUCAGAAGGCUUUAGAAAACUCAAGAAUCAGGGCGACAUCUCACCCUUUUUAGUUUAAAAGAAAAGGAAAAAUGAAUAAGGUUCAGUGUCUGUUCAUGGAGGAAUCAUCAGAGUGAUCACCCACUGUCAUCUUCAACUGAGUCAUCACUUGAUGAUCCAUCCAUUUGAUGACUUUCAGUUUGGUCACGGCUUCUAUGUUGCUCGUUUGUCGGAUUCUGUCUCUGCGGUUGCAGAUCAGGACGAACACACCUUGAAGGUACCCAGUGUACCCCAGUAUCUGUGGAUACACAAGCAUACCCGCGCCCGGAAGAGAUAAGGUCAUAGGGACCUUCCCAUUGUUUAGUGACUAAAUUCCGCACUCAAACUUUUGCUCGAGGCUGAUGUGCCUCGUCUGCUGCCUGCAAUGAGAGAUGAUGAUUUAAAAAGACAGGGUUAUUUGAAUUCUGCUGCACUGUAAGAUGAUUGAUGGUGUACAAUGCUUUCUCCAACCGACUGUGCGGGGUCUCACCCUGCAUUCCCCGUUUUUGUUUUUGAAGAACGCGCUUCAGAGUACCAUGAGCGCGUUCUACAAUAGCUUGGCCGGUUGGAGAAUGGGGGAUACCAAACUUGUGUGACACACCCCACAACUGCAGGAACUGCCACACCUGCUGUGAUGCGUGAGCAGGACCAUUGUCGGUUUUCACAGCAGAAGGUAUGCCCAGAAUGGCAAAGGCCUGCCUCCAGUGGGCAAUGACAUCACGAGCCUUUUCUCCAGUGUGAGCGGAAGCCCACAUCGCAGAGGAGAACGUGUCCACCGUGACAUGCACAUACUUGAGCCGGCCAAACUCGGCAAUCUGGGUGACAGGAGUUAGUAGUUAACUAAUAAUUGAUUGCUUGUCAGCACAAUGUUUAGUUAGCUGGGUUUAUAAUAAAGAAUAUA